Macaca mulatta (Rhesus monkey) is the source of this 4066-nucleotide long non-coding RNA. RefSeq lists it as uncharacterized. Lineage: Eukaryota; Metazoa; Chordata; Mammalia; Primates; Cercopithecidae. The record is from RefSeq and is a predicted model, not a curated record.
UCAGUCCCUGGUCCCUGGAGAGGGGAGCUGGUUCUCUCUGCAUCCAGUGGGAGAGCCUGAAUAGACCUGCAGGAGGACAAACUUCUGCAUAUGUAGGCCUGGUGGCAUUCCUCUCACCUUACAGGUGAGAAAAUUGAGUCGAGGAACACGCCUGAGGUCCCACCUCUGACAGUGACAGGCCAGGACUGUAACUUUCCUUCAUCCAAACCUGGUACCUACAUGACUCAAGCAAGGGAAAGGUCAGGGCACCCCUGCCUCCCACUGGCCUUAGAGCAGCCACACCCAUGAUCCCGAGCCUUUUGGACUCCGAGAUGCAGCAGAUCAAAGGCCUUGUGAUAAAAGUGGAGACUUAGUUUCUCAUGUCCCUAGGAGGAGCAAAGAACAAGGCUUAUAAAUAGGAUCAGGGUCUUUGCAAACAACAGUAGCAACAACACAUUUGUCUGAGAGGCCAGGUUGAGAAUUGGUGCUUGCUCCAUCUUGUGCCCUAGAGACAAUCCUCGGACUGCUGAACUUCUCCACUCUCACGGCAUUGCCCAUCAGGAGGGAUUGCAGUUCUGAACAUGACGGAUCAGAUGCAAUAUCAGAGGAGCUUCACGUCUGCAGGCCUGUCCCAGGCUCUGGGGACCUUAUAGAGGAUGCUGCUGAAUUCCCUAGCUUGGCUUACAGAGGAGCAAAAAGAUUCCGUUGAUUUCCAGCCUCAUGUUUAGCCACCUGUUAUCAAAGCCUGCCCCGAGAGAUGUUCAUCUCCUGAUGUCUAUGUGGGGCCCAGGUGGCUGCAAUCAAAAUGACAGGUCAGCUCAGAGGUUAGGUUGCUGGCUGAGUGGCUAUUGUUUAUCCCAGUUUCAAUUUCAUCGUCAUGACAACCCACACAAGUCAUUGUCCCAGCCGAUGCCUCUGUGUGACGGAGUGUGAGGAACGUGCUUCGUCCCAGCUCGCUCUGCCUGACGGACGAGGAGCCGUCUCUGCUCUCGGGUGGCUGCUCCUUUCUUUCCUCCACGUGUUCACAGUGUUCUUAUUUUCUCCACCACUUACCCAGAAAUUGUUUCUGAAAAGUGUCUCAUUUCAACUGAAUUUGGCGCAGAGCGAUUGGGAACAUUGCUCGGCUGGGAUUUGCUCUCUCUCCUCAGCAGUUUUGCAGGCCUUAUCUCACUCCUGUGGGCUUCCAGAACUGCUGGGACCCCUGGCUGAGAUCAAGUGGGGGGCAGUAGAUGGGAACCUGCCUGUUUCACACUCGGAUCAUCCAAGGGAAGACACGAACGUUCUGCACACACAACAUAGUAUAAGCACAAAACUUGCCUUAAUGUGUCUUCCAAGCUAUGCGGGACCCCUUCCUUGAAAAUUUCAAGAGACAGAUGGCUGGUGUUUCUGUUGUGCUCCAUGGCUCUGAGAAAUCCUGUGUCUGUGUAGGGCUGUUGAGAUGCCAGCUCUGGAUGGUAACAUCGGUGAGCCUGGAAGGCUUUGCCUUGGAAGCAUGGGGCCUGUGUCUACUGAGCUUCUCUUUUGGGUCCUCCAGCACUUGAUGAUUCUGAGAACACAUGUUCCUUUACUUUAGGGAGCAACCUCAAAAAUGGACCCUUCUUCUUCGCUCUGGCAUGGUGGUGAUUCUGUUGGGAGGCGCCUUGGGCCAGAUAUAUCCUAUUCUGGAGGCUCACAGGCAGGCCCAGCACUGAGAGAAACCCUGCCUGGCCCGACAAGCCUUCUCCUGAGGGUGGCUUCUCCUGUGGCUACAGGAUCAUCUAUAUUGGUCAAACGGAUGGUACAAGAUGUUUUAAAAAGAUAUUGGGAUUGGUUUGACUGAAAGAGAGGCUGUGAAGGACUGGGGUGCUCAUUAAGAGUCUCAGAAUCAAGGAAGGUUGUUAUGGAGACAGGCUGAUCACUGCCGUGGGAAAGGCUGGGGUGAGGCAGGUGGAUCACUGCCGUGGGAAAGGCUGGGGUGAGGCAGGUGGAUCACUGCUGUGGGAAAUGCUGAUCUGAGGCCCAUAUGCAUGGCCCCUGUUGUCAUGGUGGGGGUGGUGGGGAGACACAGAGUUGAGCCAGGCAAUGGGAAAGGGCAGAAAGCAGAUAUGGGAGUUGAGAGCCGGGGCUGAGCCAGCAGAACUGGGAGCAGGAGCGCUGUUAGAAAGUGGUUUGAUCUGGGGCUCAAGCCAACUGAGUUGGUCAACACUAAGAGCCAGCAGGCUUCACCUUCUUCAUCUUUAUUCAUUCAACAGACAUUUUUGGAGUAUUUACUACAUGCCAGGUGCUAUUCUAGGCACUCAUCAGUGAGUGGUCAGUGAAACAGACAAAAAUCCCAACCCCAACAGGGUUUUACCUUCUAGUGGAGCAGCCAGGCAAUAAGCAGAUCACUUAGACACUCAGGAUGUCAGAUGGUUCCAAGUUCUGGGGAGGGGCAUAGGAAUGGUGGUGGUGCUACAAUUUAAAACAGAGGGGUCAGGUUAGCCUUUGUGAGAUGAUGCUCCAGCAAAGAACUAACUGGGAGAGGGCUGGGGUCAUGGGGACACCUAGGGGAAGAUCAAGGCAGAAGGAGCAGCUAGGGCAGCACCCAUGGGCCUGGUGUGCUGGAGACCAAGGAGGGGCCUGUAAGACUGGAAUGGGGUGAUCGAGAGGCGACCGCAGGGAUGAGGUCUGAGGUGUCAGAAGCCAGAGCACGCUGGGCCUUGCAAUCUUUGUAAGGGCUUUCUAGGUGGAAUGGGAGGUCGCAGGCAGGAUGGAACAGAAGAGGGGUAUCAUCUGCAGGCUCUUACAGGAUCCCUCUGGCUGCUGUGCUGAGAAUAUGUUAAAUUUGAGAUGAUCUGCUUAGAUUAAGUCCUGACUCUGUCAUUGUCACUGGACCGAGAAGGUCUUCAUGACUACCAGACUAUCUCAACUCUCAACACUAGGAUUUGAACAUCUUUAGGAAAAUGUUGAAUUGAAUGUGUCACAAAUUUGUCAAAAUGAGCAAACUUAUCAAGACACAGACUCAGCUCAAAGUGAAUAUGACCUUGCCCCACUGCCCUCCCUGGCGUUAGGGACACCAACCACUGCCAACUCCAACCCCUGGCUCCCACCCUAGUCAAAUUCUCCCAGGUCCCUGGAGCUUUUCUUGGGACUCCAGGGCCUCACAGCCACGGACUGUGGGCUGGCCAUGCAGCUCUCCACUCCACCACGAGGGGGCCUUGUUCAGUCCACUGCACCACCCACCACCAUCGGCUAGCUUCCUGCAGCCUCUGCUUUUCCCUCCUGCCCACCGGUGGCUCUCCAGGGAGCGUCCUCUGCAGGCCCUCUUCCGAACUGAAGGAAUCUGCGUAAAACCUCCUGGUGCCUAACUCAGAUCUGCUCAAGCUCCAGGAACUCCAGCUCCCUGACACUACCUCUUGGAGCAUGCCAACCCCAGAGAUUAGCAGCACCUAUCAUCUCCCUGGUUUUCUUGGGAGUUUUCAUUUAAGACCUGCCCAUUAGACCUAAGAAUGCUCCUCAUUGAUUCUCCCAUGAUCCCCAAACCAGGAAGGUCGGUGAUAAGCCGACCUUCUCCCAUGAUCCCCAAACCAGGAAGGUCGGUGAUAAGCCCCAGGGGCGUGUCACUCUUCGGCGGCCUCCCUCUCUAGGAGGAGGAAGAUACAAGAGGUAGAAUAGUUCACACUCCUUCCUGGUGGUCCAGCAGAUUGGCCAUGGGGGUCUCAAUGUUGUGAGAGGGGCUGGGACUAUGCGCCCCUCACAGUCCGUUCCCGCUUCAACAUUUACAUCGUCUGUGUGAUGUCACUUGUUGGUGAAUGGGAACUGAUUGUCUUGUUUGGCCGGGGUGGGUCUGGAGGUAUCUUUAGGGACACUCCUAGCUGAGUUUUUUCCACACCACUGACAACCAUGCUUUGUGAGUUACCGUCUGAGGAGAGAUCUGACCUGGCAGAAUCAAAGGACAUGGGUUUAGGAAAGGAUCCAAAUUACAUUGAGGGCGAUCCCACUGCUGUUCCAAACAGUCAAAUACCCCCUUUUGAUUGAAUAGGUUUGUUAUUAAAAAUGCAUUUAAAAAAAUGAAAUCGAAAGCAAAUCCCUUCAAAUAAAAUUUCAGCCUUGUCUUAAAUCCAGUUUA